RNAcentral lists this transfer RNA (72 nucleotides) under Paenibacillus popilliae ATCC 14706. It matches the Rfam family "tRNA". Rfam says of the family: Transfer RNA (tRNA) molecules are approximately 80 nucleotides in length. The record is from Rfam by way of RNAcentral. Lineage: Bacteria; Bacillati; Bacillota; Bacilli; Caryophanales; Paenibacillaceae.
GGGGCAUUAGUUCAGGGGGAGAACGCUUCACUGGCAGUGAAGAGGUCAGCGGUUCGAAUCCGCUAUGCUCCA